AACGAACGCUGGGGGCAGGCCUAACACAUGCAAGUCGAACGCCCUAGCAAUAGGGAGUGGCAGACGGGUGAGUAACACGUGGGAACCUUCCCUAUAGUACGGAAUAGCUCAGGGAAACUUGAAGUAAUACCGUAUACGCCCGAGAGGGGAAAGAUUUAUCGCUAUAGGAUGGGCCCGCGUCGGAUUAGCCAGUUGGUGAGGUAAUGGCUCACCAAGGCGACGAUCCGUAGCUGGUUUGAGAGAACGACCAGCCACACUGGGACUGAGACACGGCCCAGACUCCUACGGGAGGCAGCAGUGGGGAAUAUUGGACAAUGGGCGCAAGCCUGAUCUAGCCAUGCCGCGUGAGUGAUGAAGGCCUUAGGGUUGUAAAGCUCUUUAGCAGGGAAGAUAAUGACUGUACCUGCAGAAUAAGCUCCGGCUAACUUCGUGCCAGCAGCCGCGGUAAU
This 449-nucleotide ribosomal RNA is filed under the name uncultured bacterium. RNAcentral's name for it is "bacterial SSU rRNA". It matches the Rfam family "Bacterial small subunit ribosomal RNA", at positions 29 to 524 of the family's 1533-position model. The record is from RNAcentral.